GAUGAACGCUGGCGGCGUGCUUAACACAUGCAAGUCGAACGAGAAGUGAAGACGGAAACCUUCGGGCGGAAGGCUUUAUUUCGAGUGGCGGACGGGUGAGUAACGCGUGGGUAACCUGCCUCAUACAGGGGGAUAACAGUUGGAAACGACUGUUAAUACCGCAUAAGACCACAGCACCGCAUGGUGCGGGGGUAAAAACUCCGGUGGUAUGAGAUGGACCCGCGUUCGAUUAGCCAGUUGGCGGGGUAACGGCCCACCAAAGCGACGAUCGAUAGCCGAUCUGAGAGGAUGACCGGCCACAUUGGGACUGAGACACGGCCCAAACUCCUACGGGAGGCAGCAGUGGGGAAUAUUGCACAAUGGGGGAAACACUGAUGCAGCGACGCCGCGUGAGUGAAGAAGUAUUUCGGUAUGUAAAGCUCUAUCAGCAGGGAAGAAAAUGACGGUACCUGAGUAAGAAGCCCCGGCUAACUACGUG
Molecule: ribosomal RNA, 478 nt
Filed under: uncultured bacterium
Lineage: Bacteria
Description: partial 16S ribosomal RNA
Rfam family: Bacterial small subunit ribosomal RNA
Source: RNAcentral